RNAcentral lists this ribosomal RNA (489 nucleotides) under uncultured bacterium. RNAcentral's name for it is "partial 16S ribosomal RNA". It matches the Rfam family "Bacterial small subunit ribosomal RNA", at positions 28 to 507 of the family's 1533-position model. The record is from RNAcentral.
GAUGAACGCUAGCGGCAGGCCUAAUACAUGCAAGUCGAGGGGCAUCAGUUCUUUAGCAAUGCGGUUGCUGGCUACGGGCACACGGGUGGGGAGCACGUUGCCAUCUUAUGCGGAACUGGGUUAUAACCCGGGGAUUCCCACACUAUUACACCUUAAUAUGAUUGGUUGUAUUUUGUUUAUUACUAAAGCUACGGCGGUUCGGGCGGGGGGUCCGGCGGCUUAGGUGGUUGGGUGUGGUAACGGCGCACCAAGUCGACGAUCAUUAAACGGUGUGCGAGCACGACCCCCCACACGGGGACUGAGACACGGACCCGACUCCUACGGGAGGCAGCAGUAAGGAAUAUUGGGCAAUGGAGGCAACUCUGAACCAGCCAUGCCGCGUGGAGGAGGACGGCCCUCUGGGUUGUAAACUUCUUUUAUAGAGGAAGAAACCUAUGUAUUCUUGCGUAGUUGACGGUACCCUACGAAUAAGCACCGGCUAACUCCGUG